CUUGCUUUUCCUGAUGACGAGUGGCGGACGGGUGAGUAAAGUUUGGGAAGCUACCUGAUAGAGGGGGACAACAGUUGGAAACGACUGCUAAUACCGCAUACAGCCUGAGGGUGAAAGCAGCAAUGCGCUAUCAGAUGCGCCCAAAUGGGAUUAGCUAGUAGGUGAGGUAAAGGCUCACCUAGGCGACGAUCUCUAGCUGGUCUGAGAGGAUGAUCAGCCACAUUGGGACUGAGACACGGCCCAGACUCCUACGGGAGGCAGCAGUAGGGAAUAUUGCACAAUGGAGGAAACUCUGAUGCAGCCAUGCCGCGUGUGUGAAGAAGGCCUUCGGGUUGUAAAGCACUUUCGGAGGGGAGGAGAAUGACGUUACCCUCAGAAGAAGCACCGGCUAACUCCGUGCCAGCAGCCGCGGUAAUACGGAGGGUGCAAGCGUUAAUCGGAAUAACUGGGCGUAAAGGGCAUGCAGGCGGUUAAACAAGUAGGAUGUGAAAUCCCCGGGCUCAACCUGGGAGCUGCAUACUAAACUGUUUAACUAGAGUAUUGCAGGGGGAGACGGAAUUCCAGGUGUAGCGGUGGAAUGCGUAGAUAUCUGGAAGAACACCAAAGGCGAAGGCAGUCUCCUGGGCAAAUACUGACGCUCAUAUGCGAAAGCGUGGGUAGCAAACAGGAUUAGAUACCCUGGUAGUCCACGCCGUAAACGAUGUCAAUUAGGAGCUUGUGCGAUAGUAUGGGUUCCGCAGCAAACGCGAUAAAUUGACCGCCUGGGGAGUACGGCCGCAAGGUUAAAACUCAAAUGAAUUGACGGGGGCCCGCACAAGCGGUGGAGCAUGUGGUUUAAUUCGACGCAACGCGAAGAACCUUACCUGACCUUGACAUAGUGAGAACCUCUCUGAAGGGAGAGGGUGCCUUCGGGAGCUCACA
Molecule: ribosomal RNA, 921 nt
Filed under: Succinivibrio dextrinosolvens
Lineage: Bacteria; Pseudomonadati; Pseudomonadota; Gammaproteobacteria; Aeromonadales; Succinivibrionaceae
Description: bacterial SSU rRNA
Rfam family: Bacterial small subunit ribosomal RNA
Source: RNAcentral